UACAGAGGGUGCUAGCGUUGUUCGGAAUCAUUGGGCGUAAAGGGCGUGUAGGCGGUUUGUUAAGUCAUGCGUGAAAUCCCUCGGCUCAACCGGGGAAGGACGCAUGAAACUGGCAAGCUAGAGUACCAAAGAGGGGGGUGGAAUUCCCGGUGUAGCGGUGAAAUGCGUAGAUAUCAGGAGGAACACCUGUGGCGAAGGCGGCCCCCUGGUUGGAUACUGACGCUGAUACGCGAAAGCGUGGGGAGCAAACAGG
Molecule: ribosomal RNA, 253 nt
Filed under: uncultured bacterium
Lineage: Bacteria
Description: partial 16S ribosomal RNA
Rfam family: Bacterial small subunit ribosomal RNA
Source: RNAcentral